RNAcentral lists this ribosomal RNA (253 nucleotides) under uncultured bacterium. RNAcentral describes it as "partial 16S ribosomal RNA". It matches the Rfam family "Bacterial small subunit ribosomal RNA", at positions 524 to 776 of the family's 1533-position model. The record is from RNAcentral.
UACGAAGGGGGCUAGCGUUGCUCGGAAUCACUGGGCGUAAAGGGCGCGUAGGCGGCUGUUCAAGUCGGGGGUGAAAGCCUGUGGCUCAACCACAGAAUUGCCUUCGAUACUGGACGGCUGGAGACCGGAAGAGGUCAGUGGAACUGCGAGUGUAGAGGUGAAAUUCGUAGAUAUUCGCAAGAACACCAGUGGCGAAGGCGGCUGACUGGUCCGGUUCUGACGCUGAGGCGCGAAAGCGUGGGGAGCAAACAGG